Bubalus bubalis (water buffalo) is the source of this 2081-nucleotide long non-coding RNA. RefSeq lists it as uncharacterized. NCBI's taxonomy places the organism in Eukaryota, Metazoa, Chordata, Mammalia, Artiodactyla, Bovidae. The transcript is spliced from 7 exons. The record is from RefSeq and is a predicted model, not a curated record.
GGAGGCCACAGCAAGUGGCCACUCCAGUAUUCUUACCUGGAGAAUCCCAUGGACAGAAGAGCCUGGCAGGCUACAGUCCAUAGGGUUGCAAAGAGUCAGACAGGACUGAAGCAACUUAGCAGGAGCACGAAGCAUCUAGACCACCAAUGUCCACUAAGAAUAUAAAGUGAGCCAUAUAUGCGAUCUUGCAUUUUCUAUUUUAAAAUUAGAAAGAAAGAGGUGAAAUUAAUUUAAUUUACCAUAGUAUAUCUUACUUAAUCCAGGAUAACCAAAACACACUGUAAUUUCAACAUGAAAUCUAUAUAAAAUAUGAAUGAGAUAUUUUUUGUUUUUCUUCUUAUUAAAUCUUUGAAAUCCACUCUGCGUUUUAUACUUCCUGCACACCACGUCUCCUUUCAGGAAAGCUGCAUUUAAAGUACCCAAUAGCCACACAUGUGAAGUGGCUAUUUUACUGUGGUCUGUGGACCAGUGGCAUAGCUGUUCCCUGCAAGUUUAUUACAAACUUAGGUUCUCAGAUCCACCCCAUUUCUACUGAGUCAGAAUCUUCACUUUAACUAGAUGCACAGAGGAGUCACGAGCAUGUGAAGAUUGGAGAAGCACGUUCUUCACCAUUUUAUUGCUGCUGCUCCAGGGUGCCUGUUCGCUGCCUCCUUGCAGGAUCCUGGAUUGAUGCCUGUUACAUGGCAGCCAUCUGCGAGGUAACGCUGAGGCCAGAGUUACAUCAUGAAGAGUCCAUGCUUUGGGAUGAGGGAAGGACUACUACAUGGAGAAAGAGGGAGGUUGUCACCAAGCAAGAUGCUGGGCCUGACGCCAUCACCUCCCUGAAAUGAUGGCAGCUUCCAGCCAGCCUUCAUCCUUCCAUCCUUACAAAGCUACACCUGAUGACCAUGUGUCAUAAAGCCUGGAAUGUCCAGGAAAAGAGAACUCACCAAACUUGAGAUCUGCCUUCCUCUUGAUAUGCAAGGGACAAGAUUUGUCAGUUGGAGAUGACCAGACAUCACUUACGAACUUUCAGAAAAAUAAGGAAUCUUGGACAUAUAGUGAUUCUACCAGUAGUAUUCCAGUCCAGGGUAUGACAGGUGCUGCCAGUACUAAGCUAACUGAAGAGAAUAUUUUUUGAGAGUCUUCCUGUUUGUGUGCAUCUCUCUCAGGGAACCACAUGGAAAACAAAUGUCUGGGCCUUCUAUAAUCAUCACCAGCUGGUCCUCUGGAGCAAUGUCUGUUCAGCCAGACCUUGCCGAGCGACUUUACAAGUUUCUGUCCAGUGGCGAUUGGGUGACUUUCCUUCAUUCAGACCACAAGCAACAGUGCAAGCUGUACACAUGAAACCGUGCCAUGAAAUUUCCUCCAUGCCAUUUUUCCUGUUUGCCUCUACUCUCUGAUUACCAGUUAAAAUUUUACAGGAAAGCCAACUGAGUACAAAAAAAUAUUUCUUACAAAGGUGUGUGGGAUCUUAGGUCAUGGACCAGGGAUUGAACCCAAUCCCCCUGCACUGGAAGGCAAAGUGUUAACCACUGGACCACUAGGGAAGCUCCUAUUUAUGUGCUUUUGAAACAGCUUAAAAAAAAAACCACAAAAAACUGGCAUAGUGCUUUGAAAACUUCAGCUCUGGAGUCAGAUUUUCCUGGGUUUGAAUUCUGGCUUUCCCACUUCUAGCCAUGAAUCCUUGAGCUAACUGCUUCACUGCUUUAAUCCUCAGUGUCCUCAUCUGUAAAGCAGGAAGACAGUAACACUCGUCUUAUUGGACUAUUGGAAGAGUUCAAUGGAUGGAAAACGCUGGGCAAAACAGAUGGAACAUAGUCAGUCCGUGGAAUCCAUGGGGUUGCAAAGCGUCAGACAUGACUCAGCGACUUAACAACAAUAUGCUCGAUAAAGUAUUCCCUGUCAUUAUCUUCUCUUUCUUUAUAAGGUGGGAUAUUAAUACACGAGUUAGAUAAAUAGAAGAAUGACAGGUACAAGUCAUUUUUUAAAAUGUAUGUAUUUUUAAUUGAAGGGUAAUUGCUUCACAGUAUUGUGUUGGCUUCUGCCAAACAUCAGCGUGAAUCAGUCACAGGUAUGUUAUGUCCCCUCCUCUUGAACUU